Molecule: ribosomal RNA, 466 nt
Filed under: uncultured bacterium
Lineage: Bacteria
Description: partial 16S ribosomal RNA
Rfam family: Bacterial small subunit ribosomal RNA
Source: RNAcentral
GAUGAACGCUGGCGGCGUGCUUAACACAUGCAAGUCGAACGAUGAAGCCCAGCUUGCUGGGUGGAUUAGUGGCGAACGGGCGAGUAACACGUGAGUAACCUGCCCUUAACUCUGGGAUAAGCCUGGGAAACUGGGUCUAAUACCGGAUAGGAGCGCCUACCGCAUGGUGGGUGUUGGAAAGAUUUAUCGGUUUUGGAUGGGCUCGCGGCCUAUCAGCUUGUUGGUGAGGUAAUGGCUCACCAAGGCGACGACGGGUAGCCGGCCUGAGAGGGUGACCGGCCACACUGGGACUGAGACACGGCCCAGACUCCUACGGGAGGCAGCAGUGGGGAAUAUUGCACAAUGGGCGAAAGCCUGAUGCAGCGACGCCGCGUGAGGGAUGACGGCCUUCGGGUUGUAAACCUCUUUCAGUAGGGAAGAAGCGAAAGUGACGGUACCUGCAGAAGAAGCACCGGCUAACUACGUG